CGCAAGCAUGACUGUAAGUCACUUUGGAUAAAAGCGUCUGCUAAACGGCUGAUA
Molecule: non-coding RNA, 54 nt
Organism: Salmo salar (Atlantic salmon)
Lineage: Eukaryota; Metazoa; Chordata; Actinopteri; Salmoniformes; Salmonidae
Source: Rfam